ACUCCUACGGGAGGCAGCAGUGGGGAAUAUUGCACAAUGGGGGAAACCCUGAUGCAGCCAUGCCGCGUGUGUGAAGAAGGCCUUCGGGUUGUAAAGCACUUUCAGCGAGGAGGAAAGGGUGUAAGUUAAUACCUUACAUCUGUGACGUUACUCGCAGAAGAAGCACCGGCUAACUCCGUGCCAGCAGCCGCGGUAAUACGGAGGGUGCGAGCGUUAAUCGGAAUUACUGGGCGUAAAGCGUGCGCAGGCGGUUUGUUAAGCGAGAUGUGAAAGCCCCGGGCUCAACCUGGGAACCGCAUUUCGAACUGGCAAACUAGAGUCUUGUAGAGGGGGGUAGAAUUGCCAGGUGUAGCGGUGAAAUGCGUAGAGAUCUGGAGGAAUACCGGUGGCGAAGGCGGCCCCCUGGCACAAAGACUGACGCUCAGGCACGAAAGCGUGGGGAGCAAACAGGAUUAGAUACCCUGGUAGCGACUGAU
RNAcentral lists this ribosomal RNA (476 nucleotides) under uncultured bacterium. Its description in RNAcentral is "bacterial SSU rRNA". It matches the Rfam family "Bacterial small subunit ribosomal RNA", at positions 335 to 800 of the family's 1533-position model. The record is from RNAcentral.